RNAcentral lists this ribosomal RNA (155 nucleotides) under uncultured bacterium. RNAcentral describes it as "partial 16S ribosomal RNA". It matches the Rfam family "Bacterial small subunit ribosomal RNA", at positions 355 to 504 of the family's 1533-position model. The record is from RNAcentral.
UGGGGAAUUUUGCGCAAUGGGGGAAACCCUGACGCAGCAACGCCGCGUGGAGGAUGAAGUCCCUUGGGACGUAAACUCCUUUCGAUCGAGACGUGGCCUCCGGGUUAAUAGCCCAGAGGGUGACGGUACCGCCAGAAGAAGCCCCGGCUAACUAC